Molecule: non-coding RNA, 74 nt
Organism: Syngnathoides biaculeatus (alligator pipefish)
Lineage: Eukaryota; Metazoa; Chordata; Actinopteri; Syngnathiformes; Syngnathidae
Source: the annotation of a RefSeq genome assembly
GUCUCUGUGGCGCAAUUGGUUAGCGCGUUCGGCUGUGAACCGAGUGUUUGGUGGUUCGAGCCCACCCAGGGACG